RNAcentral lists this transfer RNA (73 nucleotides) under Alligator mississippiensis (American alligator). Its description in RNAcentral is "tRNA-Arg (ACG) (tRNA-Arg-ACG-6-1)". It matches the Rfam family "tRNA". From Rfam's summary of the family: Transfer RNA (tRNA) molecules are approximately 80 nucleotides in length. Their secondary structure includes four short double-helical elements and three loops (D, anti-codon, and T loops). Further hydrogen bonds mediate the characteristic L-shaped molecular structure. tRNAs have two regions of fundamental functional importance: the anti-codon, which is responsible for specific mRNA codon recognition, and the 3' end, to which the tRNAs corresponding amino acid is attached (by aminoacyl-tRNA synthetases). tRNAs cope with the degeneracy of the genetic code in two manners: having more than one tRNA (with a specific anti-codon) for a particular amino acid; and 'wobble' base-pairing, i.e. permitting non-standard base-pairing at the 3rd anti-codon position. The record is from Rfam by way of RNAcentral. Lineage: Eukaryota; Metazoa; Chordata; Crocodylia; Alligatoridae.
GGGCCAGUGGCGCAAUGGAUAACGCGUCUGACUACGAAUCAGAAGAUUGUAGGUUCAACUCCUACGUGGCUCG